RNAcentral lists this long non-coding RNA (1104 nucleotides) under Calidris pygmaea (Spoon-billed sandpiper). RNAcentral describes it as "lncRNA (ENSCPGG00000016821.1)". Lineage: Eukaryota; Metazoa; Chordata; Aves; Charadriiformes; Scolopacidae. The record is from RNAcentral.
NNNNNNNNNNNNNNNNNNNNNNNNNNNNNNNNCCCCCCCCCCCCCCCCCCCCCCCCCCCCCCCCCCCCCCAUCCCACUACUUGGGGGUGACCACCAGGGUGUAGAAGGUGCCAGGCUGGGGCAAGAAGCCCACAGCGCGGACGGCCCGCUGCGAGGGGGUGUUUUGGGGCAGCACCCCCAAAUAAAUGGGGAAGCCGCGGGCGUGCAGCUGCCGGCCCAGGGCCCCCAGCGUCACCCCGCUCAGCCCCUGGCCGCGCCAGGCGGGCAACGUGUAGCCGUGGCUGAGGCAGCCCAGGGGGUCCACCAGGCUCCAGGAGACGGGGCGGCCGCGGGGUCCCAGGAGGCAGGCGCUGGGCAGGGUCUCCACCAGCUUCAGCAGGAAGCGGCGGCUGCGGGCAUUGCCCCCGAAACCCCAGGUGGCGUUGAGCAGGGGGACGUGGGACAGGGAGACGGGGGACAGGCGGAGUCCCGGGGGCAACCUGCGGGGAGGGGGAGAGAGAGGAGAGAUGGGGUUGGGGGUGGGGGGGGAGGACACGGGGGAACCCACCACACACCCCCUGGAUCCUGGUGGGGACAUCACGGGGGAGCUGCUGCACCAUGGGAUGGGAUGGGAUGGGAUGGGAUGGGAUGGGAUGGAGGGAGGGGAGAGGAUGGAGGGAUGGGAUGGGAUGGGGAUGGGCAUGGGGAUGGAGAUGGAGAUGGAGAUGGAGAUGGGGAUUGGGAUGGGAUGAGGGGAUGGGAUGGGAUUGGAUGGGAUGGGAUGUGCCACCAUGUCACCCAGGGAUGUGCUCGGGGACCCCUCUCCACCCAGGCAUGUGACUGGGAACCCCCUGGGCCACUGGGAGAUGUGUCUGGGGACCCUUGUGCCACCCAGGGACAUGACUGGGGCCCCCCCAUACCACCCAGGGAUGUGCUUGGGGACCCCUUUGCCACCCAGGGAUGUGACUGGGGACCCUUGUGCCACCCAGAGAUUGGACUGGGAUCCCCUGUGCCACCCAGAGCUGUGACUGGGACCCCUGUACCACCGCCAGAGACCCCCUGUACCACCUGGGGCUGUGACUGGGGACCCUUGUGCCACCCAGGGAUGUGCUUGGGGACCCCUGU